GAUGAACGCUGGCGGCGUGCUUAACACAUGCAAGUCGAGCGGAGUUUGUAGAUGGAUUUCCUUCGGGAAUGAAGCCUACAAACUUAGCGGCGGACGGGUGCGUAACGCGUGGGUAAUCUGCCCUUGUCACUGGGAUAACACAUCGAAAGGUGUGCUAAUACCAGAUAAUAUCAAGUCAUGGCAUCAUGAUUUGAUCAAAGAACCUCGGACAAGGAUGAGCCUGCGUCUGAUUAGCUAGUUGGUGGGGUAAUGGCCCACCAAGGCGACGAUGGAUAGCCGGCCUGAGAGGGUGAACGGCCACAAGGGGACUGAGACACGGCCCUUACUCCUACGGGAGGCAGCAGUGGGGAAUAUUGGACAAUGGGCCACAAGCCUGAUCCAGCAAUUCUGUGUGCACGAUGAAGGUCUUCGGAUCGUAAAGUGCUUUCAGUUGGGAAGAAGAAAGUGACGGUACCAACAGAAGAAGCGACGGCUAAAUACGUGCCAGCCGCCGCCGUAAAAC
RNAcentral lists this ribosomal RNA (502 nucleotides) under uncultured bacterium. RNAcentral describes it as "bacterial SSU rRNA". It matches the Rfam family "Bacterial small subunit ribosomal RNA", at positions 28 to 526 of the family's 1533-position model. The record is from RNAcentral.